UAACGAUACGGGACUCAUCCGAGGCCCCGUAAUCGGAAUGAGUACACUUUAAAUCCUUUAACGAGGACCCAUUGGAGGGCAAGUCUGGUGCCAGCAGCCGCGGUAAUUCCAGCUCCAAUAGCGUAUAUUAAAGUUGUUGCGGUUAAAAAGCUCGUAGUUGAAUCUGUGUGCCACGCUGUUGGUUCAUCGCUCGCGAUGUUUAACUGACAUGUUUGUGGGACGUCCUACCGGUGGGCUUAGCUCUUCGGGGCGGUCCAGCUAAUAUCCCAUCGCGGUGCUCUUUGCCGAGUGUCGAGGUGGGCCGGUACGUUUACUUUGAACAAAUUAGAGUGCUCAAAGCAGGCUAUGUUCGCCUGAAUAUAUGUGCAUGGAAUAAUGGAAUAGGACCUCGGUUCUAUUUUGUUGGUUUUCGGAACCCCGAGGUAAUGAUUAAUAGGGACAGAUGGGGGCAUUCGUAUUGCGACGUUAGAGGUGAAAUUCUUGGAUCGUCGCAAGACGGACAGAAGCGAAAGCAUUUGCCAAAAAUGUUUUCAUUAAUCAAGAACGAAAGUUAGAGGUUCGAAGGCGAUCAGAUACCGCCCUAGUUCUAACCAUAAACGAUGCCAGCUAGCGAUCCGCCGAAGUUCCUCCGAUGACUCGGCGGGCAGCUUCCGGGAAACCAAAGCUUUUGGGUUCCGGGGGAAGUAUGGUUGCAAAGCUGAAACUUAAAGGAAUUGACGGAAGGGCACCACCAGGAGUGGAGCCUGCGGCUUAAUUUGACUCAACAC
This 767-nucleotide ribosomal RNA is filed under the name Ufens principalis. Its description in RNAcentral is "SSU rRNA". It matches the Rfam family "Eukaryotic small subunit ribosomal RNA", at positions 477 to 1206 of the family's 1831-position model. The record is from RNAcentral. Lineage: Eukaryota; Metazoa; Arthropoda; Insecta; Hymenoptera; Trichogrammatidae.